GCCCGGGGGAGCGGGGCAGGGCGCCGCGGGGCGCGGGAAUCCCGCGGCGCGGUGGGCCGGCGGGGCGGGGCCGGGGGCGGAGCCGGCGGCGGGGACGCGGAAGUCGGCGGCGGCAGCGCAGGUGGACGGCGGCGGGGGUGAGCUGAGGUGAGGUUGAGGGGGAGCGGAGGGGCCCGGCCGCCCCGUCGCCUCUGCGAGCGGGGACGGGGCUGGGCCUGGCCUGGCCUGUCCGCGGCGGGAAGGCGGGCCGCCGCCAUGGCCGGCCGCGGCCUGCCCGCCCGCCCCGCUGACCCGCUCCUUCCCUCCCUCCCCGCAGGGCGAUGCGGCUGCCCGGGCUGUUCGGGCGGCUGAAGGCGGCGGUCGUCGGGGUGGUUCAUGUGGGAGCGCUGCCAGGGACACCAAGAAGUUGUCUUCCUUUGACCCAGAUCAUUGAUCAAGCUUGUCAAGAGGCAGCAGCUUACAUGGAUGCUGGAGUUGUAAGUUUUGGUUUCCUUCUUCCUAUGGCAACAUUUACACAAAGCUGCUUCUGCAUAGCCAAUAUUUUAGAUUGAGUCUGUAAUUCUUCAAAAGC
Molecule: long non-coding RNA, 571 nt
Filed under: Calidris pygmaea (Spoon-billed sandpiper)
Lineage: Eukaryota; Metazoa; Chordata; Aves; Charadriiformes; Scolopacidae
Description: lncRNA (ENSCPGG00000001512.1)
Source: RNAcentral